CCCUUAGCGUUUGAUCCUGGCUCAGGAUGAACGCUAGCGGCAGGCCUAACACAUGCAAGUCGAGGGGCAGCAUUCACUUCGGUGAGAUGGCGACCGGCGCACGGGUGCGUAACGCGUAUACAAUCUACCUUAUACUAAGGGAUAGCCCAGAGAAUUUGGAUUAACACCUUAUAGUUUUAUGGAUAGGCAUCUAUUAAUAAAUAAAGGUUACGGUAUAAGAUGAGUAUGCGUCCUAUUAGUUAGAUGGUAAGGUAACGGCUUACCAUGACGAUGAUAGGUAGGGGUCCUGAGAGGGAGGUCCCCCACACUGGUACUGAGACACGGACCAGACUCCUACGGGAGGCAGCAGUGAGGAAUAUUGGACAAUGGGAGAGAUCCUGAUCCAGCCAUGCCGCGUGCAGGAAGACUGCCCUAUGGGUUGUAAACUGCUUUUAUACAGGGAGAAAAAGGUGUACGUGUACACUAUUGACGGUACUGUAUGAAUAAGGAUCGGCUAACUCCGUGCCAGCAGCCGCGGUAAUACGGAGGAUCCGAGCGUUAUCCGGAAUCAUUGGGUUUAAAGGGUCCGUAGGCGGGAUAAUCAGUCAGUGGUGAAAGUUUGUGGCUCAACCAUAAAAUUGCCAUUGAUACUGUUAUUCUUGAGUUAUUGUGAAGUGGUUAGAAUGAGUAGUGUAGCGGUGAAAUGCAUAGAUAUUACUCAGAAUACCGAUUGCGAAGGCAGAUCACUAACAAUAUACUGACGCUGAUGGACGAAAGCGUAGGUAGCGAACAGGAUUAGAUACCCUGGUAGUCUACGCCGUAAACGAUGGUUACUAGCUGUUCGAAACGAUUGAGUUUUGAGUGGCUAAGCGAAAGUGAUAAGUAACCCACCUGGGGAGUACGUUCGCAAGAAUGAAACUCAAAGGAAUUGACGGGGGCCCGCACAAGCGGUGGAGCAUGUGGUUUAAUUCGAUGAUACGCGAGGAACCUUACCAGGGCUUAAAUGCAGUUCGACAGAUUGGGAAACCGACUUUUCUUCGGACGGAUUGCAAGGUGCUGCAUGGUUGUCGUCAGCUCGUGCCGUGAGGUGUCAGGUUAAGUCCUAUAACGAGCGCAACCCCUGUGGUUAGUUGCCAGCACAUAAUGGUGGGAACUCUAGCCAGACUGCCGGUGCAAACCGUGAGGAAGGUGGGGAUGACGUCAAAUCAUCACGGCCCUUACGUCCUGGGCUACACACGUGCUACAAUGGUGCAUACAAUGAGCAGCCACUACGCGAGUAGGCGCUAAUCUAUAAAGUGCAUCACAGUUCGGAUUGGAGUCUGCAACUCGACUCUAUGAAGCUGGAAUCGCUAGUAAUCGCAUAUCAGCCAUGAUGCGGUGAAUACGUUCCCGGGCCCUGUACACACCGCCCGUCAAGCCAUGGAAGCUGGGGGUGCCCGAAGUUCGUAGCCGCAAGGAGCGACCUAGGGUAAAACUAGUAACUGGGGCUAAGUCGUAACAAGGUAACCAAGGGC
This 1493-nucleotide ribosomal RNA is filed under the name uncultured bacterium. RNAcentral describes it as "bacterial SSU rRNA". It matches the Rfam family "Bacterial small subunit ribosomal RNA". The record is from RNAcentral.